Molecule: ribosomal RNA, 376 nt
Filed under: uncultured Serratia sp.
Lineage: Bacteria; Pseudomonadati; Pseudomonadota; Gammaproteobacteria; Enterobacterales; Yersiniaceae
Description: bacterial SSU rRNA
Rfam family: Bacterial small subunit ribosomal RNA
Source: RNAcentral
UAAUACGGAGGGUGCAAGCGUUAAUCGGAAUUACUGGGCGUAAAGCGCACGCAGGCGGUUUGUUAAGUCAGAUGUGAAAUCCCCGGACUCAACCUGGGAACUGCAUUUGAAACUGGCAAGCUAGAGUCUCGUAGAGGGGGGUAGAAUUCCAGGUGUAGCGGUGAAAUGCGUAGAGAUCUGGAGGAAUACCGGUGGCGAAGGCGGCCCCCUGGACGAAGACUGACGCUCAGGUGCGAAAGCGUGGGGAGCAAACAGGAUUAGAUACCCUGGUAGUCCACGCUGUAAACGAUGUCGAUUUGGAGGUUGUGCCCUUGAGGCGUGGCUUCCGGAGCUAACGCGUUAAAUCGACCGCCUGGGGAGUACGGCCGCAAGGUUA